GAAAUCAUACUUCACAGGAUCAUUUCUGUAGUAUGUAUUUCACAUGAUCCCUCACUCUGCUUUGAACAGGCAACCGCGGUGAUUGGGAAAAGAGCGAAGCGCGAGCGUGAAAAUGCCUUCGGGCUUGAGGACCGCGGACGCUGAAAGCUCACUUUUGGUGGCCUGCGCCUCGCUCAUCUGAGCGGU
Pristionchus pacificus is the source of this 186-nucleotide non-coding RNA. The record is from Rfam. NCBI's taxonomy places the organism in Eukaryota, Metazoa, Nematoda, Chromadorea, Rhabditida, Neodiplogasteridae.